UCGUCCCAUUCCGGUCUCCUCAGGAGGCGGAGACAGCUCGAAGUCUGCUGACCCCAGCUUUACCGAGCUACCGAGCACUGAUUAAUAUGCAGUUGACUGUUGAAGGCAGCAUCCUGACUGUCAGAUGGAUCGGUGAAGACGCACUUGUGUUACGAGUUGCCACCAACUGUUUCCUGGAACAUCUUUACCUGGUGAAACGCCAUCUUGACAGCAUUGCACCCCCAGAUCUGAGAAGCCCUGAGGGGCAAAGGGGGGCUGAGGCCUAAGCUUCCCUCCCAUUGUAUCCAGUGUUUCCUUCCCAGAGCACUGUUUGCUGGAAUCAUUUGCCACUAUGAGCCUGUUUGCCUGAAGUAGACCUUGAGCGCGGAGGACCCACUGCUUUGGUUUUCUUGUUUGGAGGGAAGAGGGCGAUUCAAUGGUUGUCACUGCAGAAAAUAAAACUGAGCUGCAAC
Molecule: long non-coding RNA, 452 nt
Organism: Echinops telfairi (small Madagascar hedgehog)
Lineage: Eukaryota; Metazoa; Chordata; Mammalia; Afrosoricida; Tenrecidae
Exons: 2
Source: RefSeq, a predicted model, not a curated record